CAGGUUUACCUGUGUGACUGCGUACCUUUUGUAUAAUGGGUCAGCGACUUAUAUUCUGUAGCAAGGUUAACCGUAUAGGGGAGCCGGAGGGAAACCGAGUCUUAACCGGGCGUUAAGUUGCAGGGUAUAGACCCGAAACCCGGUGAUCUAGCCAUGGGCAGGUUGAAGGUUGGGUAACACUAACUGGAGGACCGAACCGACUAAUGUUGAAAAAUUAGCGGAUGACCUGUGGCUGGGGGUGAAAGGCCAAUCAAACCGGGAGAUAGCUGGUUCUCCCCGAAAGCUAUUUAGGUAGCGCCUCGUGAAUUCAUCUCCGGGGGUAGAGCACUGUUUCGGCUAGGGGGCCAUCCCGGCUUACCAACCCGAUGCAAACUGCGAAUACCGGAGAAUGUUAUCACGGGAGACACACGGCGGGUGCUAACGUCCGUCGUGAAGAGGGAAACAACCCAGACCGCCAGCUAAGGUCCCAAAGUCAUGGUUAAGUGGGAAACGAUGUGGGAAGGCCCAGACAGCCAGGAUGUUGGCUUAGAAGCAGCCAUCAUUUAAAGAAAGCGUAAUAGCUCACUGGUCGAGUCGGCCUGCGCGGAAGAUGUAACGGGGCUAAACCAUGCACCGAAGCUGCGGCAGCGAACGUAUCACCCAAGACAACUUUACGGAGUUGACGAUUGACGGAGCGAAGCGACGUCAAAGCGUUCAUUAAAGUCGAGUUGGCUUAGGGAUACGUUCGUUGGGUAGGGGAGCGUUCUGUAAGCCUGUGAAGGUGUGUCGUGAGGCAUGCUGGAGGUAUCAGAAGUGCGAAUGCUGACAUAAGUAACGAUAAAGCGGGUGAAAAGCCCGCUCGCCGGAAGACCAAGGGUUCCUGUCCAACGUUAAUCGGGGCAGGGUGAGUCGACCCCUAAGGCGAGGCCGAAAGGCGUAGUCGAUGGGAAACGGGUUAAUAUUCCCGUACUUGGUGUUACUGCGAAGGGGGGACGGAGAAGGCUAUGUUGGCCGGGCGACGGUUGUCCCGGUUUAAGCGUGUAGGUGUGUGUUCCAGGUAAAUCCGGUU
RNAcentral lists this ribosomal RNA (1048 nucleotides) under Salmonella enterica subsp. enterica serovar Typhimurium. Its description in RNAcentral is "partial 23S ribosomal RNA". It matches the Rfam family "Bacterial large subunit ribosomal RNA", at positions 580 to 1547 of the family's 2925-position model. The record is from RNAcentral. Lineage: Bacteria; Pseudomonadati; Pseudomonadota; Gammaproteobacteria; Enterobacterales; Enterobacteriaceae.